UAGCCUCGAUCCCAGGCCGAGUUUUCGCUUUUAUAACGGUUAGGCGAACAACUGGGCCUGGUACUAGUUGUCUGCGCAUGCGUCAGUCGUUCGUCAGAUUCUGACGAAUGGAUAUUCUCGAUCACUUUCGUGACAUUUAUAUUCGUGUACUAGAAGUCAGUUCCCGUUUUAUCAUUAUUUGGAAUGGCUCUUAGCUGAAGCUUCUCUCUUCUCUGAAGCUUAUUCUGAAGACUGAACAACAAGGGAAGAGGUAUAAAGCUUUGUCAAGCUUGUUAAGGAGCAAUGGCUAAUAUCCAGCUAUCCCAACAGUGCUCCUCUUGGCUAUACUAACGGACGAGACUGGACAGUUUGAGGACUGGAGUAUGACCUGCUCAUUCGAGUGUUGCUGGGUAGCUCAGAGACAUCAAGAGAAUCUACGUUUUCUCAAGCAAAAUUUAACUGAGUUACGAGUUGGGGCCUAGAAUCAGAGAAGUCCAGCAGCCUGCUAAAUCUUUUUGAAACGUAAUUUGAAGGCAUUCAAUCAUCCUGAGUUGCCCUGGGUCACUGUAAUUGUGCUGCAAGCACAACUGGCAACUCCCCAGGCCUUUGUGAAGCAGCUCCCUAUGUGCAUCUUUUGUGUACUCACUCUGUGCAUUUUCUGUCUACAAAUUUCCAUUAUUGAUUUAUUAAAUAUUUUUGCCGACCACAAAUAUACAAUGAAAAUUUGACGCAUG
Halichondria panicea is the source of this 713-nucleotide long non-coding RNA. RefSeq lists it as uncharacterized. NCBI's taxonomy places the organism in Eukaryota, Metazoa, Porifera, Demospongiae, Suberitida, Halichondriidae. The transcript is spliced from 3 exons. The record is from RefSeq and is a predicted model, not a curated record.